UGGGAGGGAGUCCAUUGCUUGAAGCCCAGAACACUCAACUUGGAAAUGACGUCAAAUUCUUAAGUCAGUGAAUGUUUUGUUUUUGUUUUUUAGCUGUGACUAGGCUCUUGCCCUUUGCAAUCUGGAAGGAAAGGUCAUUCAGCUUUGCUCACCGCAACUCUGCAUCAUUGGGGGAUGUCAAAGAGCCUUUGCACAAGGGGCAGCAAAGAGGAACCUGUCAAUCCCAUUAGUCCAACAGAUCAGCACAGGCAAAGCAACAUCACUCGCAGAAAUGGAGUGAUCUGUUAUCGGGCCGGCUCCAUCAAUAGAGAUUUCUUCCCAUGUGCAUAGCAAGGAUCUCCAAAGUGACUUGUUGAUGCAUUUUGGGCUAUCUUGGAAACAGAGUUGUCUAAACAGCCCCCUUGUUUUGACUUUGCACAUGGGAGCAGCUUGCUAGAGCACUCUCAUGGCCAAAAUAUGCUAAGUAUCCCAGAGAGGACAAAAUAUGGGACCUUUGUCAAGUGUAUUCGCUGAUGAUAUUUUGGCUUGUCCCUUUUCCCCCCUAUGCUCUGUCCUCUAAACUGUUUUUCAUGCGUCCACAUGGGAGAAAGAAGAUUGGCAAGGGGCAGCAGGGGGAACUGUCCCAAUGGAGCAGUCCUGAAGCUGCUUUUGCAUAGGGAGCUGAUAAUAAGGGCAGAGUGCUUCAUGGCCAAGUGGUGAAGACUUACCAUCAGGAAUACAUAUUAUUCCAGAGACUGCAUUAACUCUGAUCACUCCAAAGGAGACUCUUACUUGCUGGGAAAACAAACAUGGACCUUCAACCCCCUGCAGAUGUUUUACAAAGACACCAAGCUUUUUUUAAAAAACAACAACAACCUUGUGUUUCCUUACCAGCUAUUAAAAGUGCAAGAGCACUGAUCUCCUUGAAAGAAAAAGAUCAGUUCACUUUAACAGCAACUCCAGCAAAGACAGGGAAAAACACACAAGAAAA
This is a long non-coding RNA of Podarcis raffonei (Aeolian wall lizard), 970 nucleotides long. RefSeq lists it as uncharacterized. Lineage: Eukaryota; Metazoa; Chordata; Lepidosauria; Squamata; Lacertidae. The transcript is spliced from 2 exons. The record is from RefSeq and is a predicted model, not a curated record.